ACCAGCUCAAACCACCCCUCCAUUUUACUUACAUGCACACCAGUGCAACAUAUUUGGAUUAAUCCAUUUAACUGUGACGGACCAUGAGAGAGGAAAAUGCCUCCAGCACAAUGAAUAUCUUGGAUAUUGAUGACGACAUACACGUCAAGUCCAGAACAAGAGAUGGCUUUCAAUAUUCAGUAUAUUUUCAGUGGUGGAAGAGAACAUUCGGAGUUGCUGCAUUGUGUCUUGGAUUGUUGUGUAUUCUCCUACUGGCUGGGAUCAUAGGCCUGUGUGUACACUUCACUGGUCAGCAUUACUGUGACGAAAGAGACCAGUUACAGACCAGCUACAACAACCUGACUAAAGAGAGAGACCAGCUACAGACCAGCUACAACAACCUGA
This is a long non-coding RNA of Coregonus clupeaformis (lake whitefish), 384 nucleotides long. RefSeq lists it as uncharacterized. The transcript has 4 exons. The record is from RefSeq and is a predicted model, not a curated record. NCBI's taxonomy places the organism in Eukaryota, Metazoa, Chordata, Actinopteri, Salmoniformes, Salmonidae.